Dendrobium catenatum is the source of this 3601-nucleotide RNA transcript. RefSeq lists it as uncharacterized. Lineage: Eukaryota; Viridiplantae; Streptophyta; Magnoliopsida; Asparagales; Orchidaceae. The record is from RefSeq and is a predicted model, not a curated record. The transcript has 10 exons.
CCGAAUAUCGAUCGACCAUUGUUGCUGUUGGAAAUAAGAUGAGUUGGUCUCAUCCCGAUAUUUCAAUGGAAGAACUCGUCGAUCGGAUCAAAGGCUUCGUAGACAUACUUGUUCUGGCCUCUGGCUACCAAUCGUCCGGUCUUCCUGCAAUCUGGGACGUUGACAACAUCAAGAAGGCCGUGAGAUGGGGUCUCUUCUUCGAAGAUGUGUUGAAAAGCUUGCGGCUUUAUAGUAAUUAUGUGGAGUCUGUGAAGGAGCUUGAUGCGGCUCUGUUCAAUCUGACUUCAGAUCCAAUUUUCCCUCUGGGUCUUGCGCAUUUAUCAUCUGCAACUCUUUCUAAUGCGAGAAGAUUUGUUUUAGAACACUUACUACAGACUCACCCAAUAAAGGAUGAGCAUUUGAUUGCCAUUCUUAGAGCUGUUGUUGAAAUGGACAUUGAUGAACUCUCAGAAGCACAUAAUGAUUGUCCAAAGGUGUAUAUUGACAGGCUCACAUUGCAAAUGGAUUCACUAGAGCUUGCAGCAGCAGGAAAGGGCUUGACAAAGGCGGAUAAAACCUCGAUGCCUGAAGAUGAUCCCAAUACUUCUAAAUAUUUGAAGCAAAUAGAUCAAAAUCUUCUUACAGACCCUAUAUUUAAUGAUGAAACCCGGGGAUGCAUUGGUGCUGAUGCUUCCUUCUUUGUUAUUCAAGAAAUUUUAAAAAGGCAGGCAGUGAUGUCCCGUAUGUCUUCUAUUGAGAAAGGCUUAAAUAGUCUUUCAGAGAUUAUCACAAGGAAUACAGUGGGAUCUGAGAAAAUAAGGUUUGAGUGGAAAUCAGUUGAUGGUGCAUCUUCAGACGGCGAUCAAAUAUUGAUGGAGCUAGAACAGUUUAGUCAGUGGAGAUCAAGGUGUCUCUCAUAUUUGCUAGACAAGAGAACAAUCAAAUUGCAUUCUGGUGCGGAGUUGAUUUUUCAGGCACCCAAGGAGCAGUGGAUUCAAAUUUUUGAAGGGUUAAAAUCUUCGACAUGUCCUGAUAAUUUUCUUGAAAUUAUGGAGAUCUUGCUACUGGGGCUUAUUUCAAGCAAAUGGAAUUACGUGAUCCAGAAUUUAAUAUCACUUCCUUGUGAUUUCCUCUCCAUCAUGACGAAACUCUCCGAUCUACGUGAAUUGCUUCAAAGAAAUACCCCAUUUUUGUUUUCCGAUAAGCUGCAGCUACUUGAAUUAGAUGUUAUAAUAGAUCAUUCAAGAUUCUUUCCAUGUUGCCAUAGUACGCAUAACCUACCCUCCAUCCCUCGUGACAAACAACAGGAAAAUGACAUUCUUCAGUAUCUGUCAUCAUUAUUGAGGUCUCAUCCUCAUAAACUAUGGAAACUACCUUCAGUUCUUGUUGCCGCUGCAAUUCCUUCAUGGUCAGUCUUGUUCAAGACGCACUUAAGCGAUGUAGAAAAUCAUUAUAACGAAUCCUAUUCUGCAGCUAGGUGAUGCUGCAUUUUUUUUCCCAUCCGGGCUAAUUGUACAGGACAAUUUUUUUAUUCCAUGGAUGCGAUCAGCAUGGAAGCAAGCACCAAUACUGUCAAGUUACCGAUAUGAUUCAGAGCCUCUACAUAUUCCACAUUCGCUUUUCUCCUGGCAGAGAUUGAUUUACUAGAGGGCUUGACAAUGGAAGAGGUACCGACAUAUUCCCUGAAAAAAAUGGAAAAAAAGAAAGAAAAAAAACAGAUGCUCUUCAUCUUCUUCUAUUUUUCCCUUGAUGUUUGGCUAUGUUAUGCAUGCUUCUUCUUCUAAUUUAAAUACUCAUUGCACCUCUCCUUGUCAAAGUAAAAGCUGUUUGUUUACUGGAAUACUCAUCGCACAGCACAGAGUCAGUGCUGACAUCUCUGAAAUGCAAAGUUCAGGCAUUUGUACAGGGAAGUUGUAUGAUUUAGGUCUUGGAGACUGAUGCAGAACUGAAAGAUUAAUACUGACUCAGAUGGGAUUUAGGAUAACGAAGAAGAUUAGGAGGUAAGCAUACGCUGGAAUAUUAGAAAGGUUUGAAGAGCGAAUGAUCCAUGAACCCAUCCUGGAAAUAAGCUAAGAGUUAGGUCAUUGAGCAGUUACUAAUUUGAGUGUCAGAGGCUUUUCCUAGGUACAAACUUUCUGUUUGAGUGUUGAUGUCUUAGUUUAGCUGGUUGUAGCUUGGACGGGUGUUUUGGGAGAGGAAUAGCUUUAUAUAAAUGGCCUUUUCUUUUUAAUUUCAUCUACUGCUAUAUAUCAAAACUUAUCAAAAUGUGCUGUCUCAAUUGAAAUAAAAUCAAAUCAGUCCAAAUCAAAUGUAGCUUGACUUUACAACAGAUUAAAACGAUUUUAGAACAUAAAAUUUAAAUGAAAUAAAAGACUAGAUUCAAUUUGAAUCAAAAUUAAUGAGCUAUACCUCAAUUAAAUUGGUCUCAAAUUGAGGCAGUCUAUAGCCAAAUUUAGCUUAGCCUCUUCUUAUUGUUUUUUAAAGUAGUUUUUUGGUUUAAAAAUUUUUUGAAUUAAAAAUUUUUUACUAGAAAGCUGCUUUAGAAAGCAGUAAGAAAGCCGUCUCAAACGAAAAGCCUAAAUUAAAAUGAUUUUAAGCCUAGAUUGAUCUUAAGUUAUAGUAGCUCUCUCACAGCUUAAGCCAAUCAUUUUACAACUCCAGAAGCAGCAGUUAGUGCUUUCUUUUGGGCAUUCUACUGAAGGUAAAAUAGGAUAAAGCUUAAAUGAAAAAAAAGGGUGAAAACUUAUAUCCACAUGUUAUAAAAUAAUAAUAAUAAUAAUAAUUUUAAAAACAUCAAGAUCCGAAAUAUAAAGAUCGAAAGUAACGGCUACCAAGAGAAUAAGAACAAAUGGGGUUGUUAGUCACAACCACACUUUGUCCAGGUUUGCUGCCUCAUUAGCCUUACAGCUUUAGGUCUUAAUAACAUUCCCACGGAAACACGUUAUUUGCUUCUUGUUUUGUGUAUAACUUGAUGCUUUAAUGCUCGCUACAGAGUUUAAACAAUGCAGUGACGCCGGAGCUGAGUAUGUCAUGGCCACGGGAGCACUAUUAGAAACUUCAGCUAAAUUUGUUAGAUUCAAUUUUCCCUUUUUCUGUAUAGCUUUUAGUGUGACCAUUGUAUGUAUAAAUAAGUUGGCUUUUGUGAAUAAAGGCAGAGUAUUUGAGUUUAAUUUCUUGUUUCGUUUUCCUUGGGGAUUACGUCUGUAUCCGGCCACGGGUCCGAUGGUGGUGAUGUUUCCUGCAGUCUGACGGUUCUGCCGACAAAGGUAUUGGUUCGCUGAGAGUUCGUCACUCACAAUCGACCGCCUUCCAGGGAGGUGCUGUUCGGACGUCGUCGUCCGAGUUGGAUAGUGACGCGACUGAAGAAGUUGUCCGGAGUCAAGCAGCCUAAUAAACUAAUCAGUAGACGACAUCAUGAACCAGCUUGCAUGACUUCAGAACUGACCACUUUAAAAGCCUGUAGUAGCCAGCUUUCAGAAGCGCAAGAGAUGAUACAAAGAUAAAAUUUGAAUCCCAUCUUUAAGAGUAUUGUAGUUACAAGUUUUAUAAAUACAAUGGAUGAAUGGAUCAACUAUGGCUGUAAAAUUUGAAGCUUUAUUAGAAGGGUGAUGUAAAAAUGCGA